CCUACGGGUGGCAGCAGUGAGGAAUAUUGGUCAAUGGACGGAAGCCUGAACCAGCCAUGCCGCGUGCAGGAAGACGGCUCUAUGAGUUGUAAACUGCUUUUGUACAAGGGUAAACCUGAAUACGUGUAUUCAGCUGAAAGUACUGUACGAAUAAUGAUCGGCUAACUCCGUGCCAGCAGCCGCGGUAAUACGGAGGAUCCAAGCGUUAUCCGGAUUUAUUGGGUUUAAAGGGUGCGUAGGCGGAUUGAUAAGUUAGAGGUGAAAUGUCCGGGCUUAACUCGGGAACUGCCUCUAAUACUGUUGAUCUAGAGAGUAGAUGCGGUAGGCGGAAUGUAUGGUGUAGCGGUGAAAUGCUUAGAGAUCAUACAGAACACCGAUUGCGAAGGCAGCUUACCAAUCUAUAUCUGACGUUGAGGCACGAAAGCGUGGGGAGCAAACAGGAUUAGAUACCCCUGUAGUC
RNAcentral lists this ribosomal RNA (460 nucleotides) under uncultured bacterium. RNAcentral describes it as "partial 16S ribosomal RNA". It matches the Rfam family "Bacterial small subunit ribosomal RNA", at positions 338 to 795 of the family's 1533-position model. The record is from RNAcentral.